AACCUGCGACGCCGGGGAUGAACUCCAAUCAUUAUGCCCUUUAUGACCUCUCUACACACGCGCUCCAAUGGAUCGUACACCGGGCACCAAGACCCCGCGGUCAACCCAAUCCCAUAAAACCAUUAUCAGUUCGGAUUGUAGGCUGCAACUCGCGUACAUGAAGCUGGCUUCGCUAGUAAUCGCGGAUCAGCAUGCCGCGGUGAAUACGUUCCCGGGCCUUGUACACACCGCCCGUCACACCACGAGAGUUUGUAACACCCGAAGUCGGUGGAGUAACCGUAAGGAGCUAGCCGCCUAAGGUGGACAGAUGAUUGGGGU
Molecule: ribosomal RNA, 318 nt
Filed under: Bacillus sp. BH
Lineage: Bacteria; Bacillati; Bacillota; Bacilli; Caryophanales; Bacillaceae
Description: bacterial SSU rRNA
Rfam family: Bacterial small subunit ribosomal RNA
Source: RNAcentral